GUGAGGAAUAUUGCGCAAUGGGGGCAACCCUGACGCAGCAACGCCGCGUGGGUGAAGAAGGCUUUCGGGUUGUAAAGCCCUGUCAGGUGGGAAGAAACCUCUUGAGGUGAAUAGUCUCGAGAGCUGACGGUACCACCAGAGGAAGCACCGGCUAACUCCGUGCCAGCAGCCGCGGUAAGACGGAGGGUGCUAGCGUUGUUCGGAAUCACUGGGCGUAAAGCGCGUGUAGGCGGUUGAAUAAGUCGGAUGUGAAAGCCCGGAGCUCAACUCCGGAAGUGCAUUCGAAACUGUUCGGCUCGAGUACGGGAGAGGGAAGUGGAAUUCCUGGUGUAGAGGUGAAAUUCGUAGAUAUCAGGAGGAACACCGGUGGCGAAGGCGGCUUCCUGGACCGAUACUGACGCUGAGACGCGAAAGCGUGGGGAGCAAACAGGAUUAGAAACCCGAGUAGUCC
RNAcentral lists this ribosomal RNA (451 nucleotides) under uncultured bacterium. RNAcentral's name for it is "bacterial SSU rRNA". It matches the Rfam family "Bacterial small subunit ribosomal RNA", at positions 354 to 796 of the family's 1533-position model. The record is from RNAcentral.